GACGAACGCUGGCGGCGCGCUUAACACAUGCAAGUCGAACGGAAAGGCCCUGCUUUUGUGGGGUGCUCGAGUGGCGAACGGGUGAGUAACACGUGAGUAACCUGCCCUUGACUUUGGGAUAACUUCAGGAAACUGGGGCUAAUACCGGAUAGGAGCUCCUGCUGCAUGGGGGGGGUUGGAAAGUUUCGGCGGUUGGGGAUGGACUCGCGGCUUAUCAGCUUGUUGGUGGGGUAGUGGCUUACCCAGGCUUUGACGGGUAGCCGGCCUGAGAGGGUGACCGGCCACAUUGGGACUGAGAUACGGCCCAGAGUCCUACGGGAGGCAGCAGUGGGGAAUAUUGCACAAUGGGCGGAAGCCUGAUGCAGCAACGCCGCGUGCGGGAUGACGGCCUUCGGGUUGUAAACCGCUUUCGCCUGUGACGAAGCAUGAGUGACGGUAAUGGGUAAAGAAGCACCGGCUAACUACGUG
This 468-nucleotide ribosomal RNA is filed under the name uncultured bacterium. Its description in RNAcentral is "partial 16S ribosomal RNA". It matches the Rfam family "Bacterial small subunit ribosomal RNA", at positions 28 to 507 of the family's 1533-position model. The record is from RNAcentral.